UACGUAGGGACCGAGCGUUGUCCGGAGUCAUUGGGCGUAAAGAGCGUGUAGGCGGCUAUUUAAGUCCUGCGUGAAAUCCUGCGGCUCAACCGCAGACGGUCGUGGGAAACUGGAUGGCUAGAGUGCGGGAGAGGAGAGUGGAAUUCCCGGUGUAGCGGUGAAAUGCGCAGAUAUCGGGAAGAACACCCGUGGCGAAGGCGGCUCUCUGGAACGCAACUGACGCUGAGACGCGAAAGCGUGGGGAGCAAACAGG
Molecule: ribosomal RNA, 253 nt
Filed under: uncultured bacterium
Lineage: Bacteria
Description: partial 16S ribosomal RNA
Rfam family: Bacterial small subunit ribosomal RNA
Source: RNAcentral